CCCCAUCGUCCUUGUGUGUAUCUGUGUUCAAUGGUUGAUCGUUCAUCUUAUUUUAAAUUUUUUUUAUAAUUAAUGUUUUUAUUAUUAUUAGAUGAUAAAAUAUGAAUAGUAUUUUAUGUGUGAUUUAUUUAUUUAUUUUUUUAUAAAUUUUUCGAUUAAGACGGAUAAUCAAAUUAAUGUUGGAUGCAGAAACUUGUAAAUAAACUUAUU
Molecule: microRNA precursor, 210 nt
Filed under: Oryza barthii
Lineage: Eukaryota; Viridiplantae; Streptophyta; Magnoliopsida; Poales; Poaceae
Description: MIR812 microRNA precursor family
Source: Rfam by way of RNAcentral